CGUUUUGAAACCUUCACUUAGGAAAACUGUAAAACUAAGCAAUCAUACAGAAAACACAUCAGUAUCUCACUGGAAAUACAUUUAUUGUCUCAGGGAAAUCACACAAAAUGACACUCAAAAAUGUCUAA
Long non-coding RNA from Melanotaenia boesemani (Boeseman's rainbowfish), 128 nucleotides. RefSeq lists it as uncharacterized. The transcript has 3 exons. Lineage: Eukaryota; Metazoa; Chordata; Actinopteri; Atheriniformes; Melanotaeniidae. The record is from RefSeq and is a predicted model, not a curated record.